GAAACCUUUAAAAUUAGUUCCGUGAAGCUAAGAAGGUUCAACGUAGUUUAGGACCAGACCACUUAGCUUCCAUAGCUAAGUGGUCUUUUUUAU
Molecule: regulatory RNA element, 93 nt
Organism: Lactobacillus selangorensis
Lineage: Bacteria; Bacillati; Bacillota; Bacilli; Lactobacillales; Lactobacillaceae
Rfam family: PyrR binding site
About the family: This family represents the PyrR binding site and terminator structure. This RNA structure is found upstream of a variety of genes involved in pyrimidine biosynthesis and transport.
Source: Rfam